UACCCUGCAAGAGGUGAUUAACCAGACUAUUGACGGAGCUAUGAAGCGGUUCCGAAUAGACAUAGUAACGGUAAUAGAGGAGGCCACAAGCUAAUCGCAGAAGAAGGAUGAGCGAAGAUCAAGAGGACGGAUGUAGAGAAGGAGGAACUUCCGAUGACGGAACGACACGAACGAUGGAUCAAGACAAGGAAGGGCGAAGAGAUGAAGACGAAGCAGAGGACCACCGGAACAAAGACAAAGAAACAGAAAAAACUACCCCGAAGACAGAAGAAGACAAUCGGAGAUAGCUUAGUGGGAUGUUGAUAUCAUUUAAGAUCGAAACUCGAUGUUCAUGCUUAGUUGAAGUUUACUGCUUUACUUUGUCCUGUGUUUCUUUGUAGUUUACUGUGCACAAGCCUAUAAGCAUACAUAAUAAUUUCUGUCAUGACUUUUAUGCUGCUGUUGUUUUUCUAUAUCUUCAUGCACGAGUAUAUGAGCUACUCGCUCGCUAAAGUCUGUAGCACUGAAGCGCAUAUCGGAAAGAAACUGAAGGCCAAGAGCUACUAUAAGUAUGAGGAAACUGAAGGCCAAGAGCUAUUAUAAGCAUGAGUAACAGCUUUGAACGUAUUGAAGCUUCAAGAAAUUAUAGGGUGGAUUGAGACAUUUUCUGGACAUGGAAAAUAGUUAUUGCUAUUGGAUUCUUGUCAUAAUGUUUUGUACUCAGAUCGAUGAACCUGACAACUGAACUCGAAUUGCUCUAAUAGUCCAAAAUCAUGUACUAUUAAAAAAAACUCUAAAAUUUAGCAUCAAAUAACUGCCACUGGUUGAUAUCA
This is a long non-coding RNA of Mercurialis annua (annual mercury), 812 nucleotides long. RefSeq lists it as uncharacterized. The transcript is spliced from 2 exons. The record is from RefSeq and is a predicted model, not a curated record. Lineage: Eukaryota; Viridiplantae; Streptophyta; Magnoliopsida; Malpighiales; Euphorbiaceae.